ACACCCAAUCAGGGUUGGGAAAUUACGUGUAAUUAAUAUUAAUUACAUUUUAUACAUUACGUGUAGUUUUUGACGUAAUUAAUUGUAGUUAAUCGUAGAUAUAGAAUAACCUCUUUUUAACAAUUCUAACCUCAAAUUUUGCGGUACGUUACGCCGGCUCUUACGUCUUCCAAAAUGCCGGGAAGAAAUUUUCACAGUUUUUGGACGAUUGGAAAGUUUGAUAUAUUAAAACUGAAUGGAAAAGUUGCAGCACGUUGUCUUGUGUGUGAUAAAAUAUUAAAAAAUACUUCGAAACAACGACUGAUGUCGCAUAGAAAUGUCUGCAAGGAAGAAAAUACAUCCAAAGAAGUGGCCGAAGUGGGUGAAGAGGAUGAAAUCAUAUUGGUAGAAAUAGAAAGUAAGGCUGACGAUAACGAUGAAGAAGAGUCAAAUGAAGUUUCAGUGGAAGAUUCACCAAGUUGUAGCAAUGAACAAUUUAAUGAUCGUGUAAGUGCGGCAUCAACAUUAACAUUACCUACAUCAGAUUUAAACUAUGAUGAAAACAUUUGCAAUACUGAGAGUUCAAAUUUGACUUCAAUAUCAAUAGCAGCUUCACCUUCACCCCGAAUGCUAUCCCCAAUUCCAUCAACUUCAAAAGAAAGCAUACACAAAAUAAUUAACAAGUCAAUAUCUAAAAAAAGCAACAGCAAGCCAAAGGAUACAAUUAAAAAUUUUUUAGACCAUGUUAGCAACAAUCAGAAAAUCGAGAUUAACAAAGCACUUGGCAAAUUUAUUGUAGGUUGUAACAUUCCAUUUCAUGUAGUAGACUCAAUUCAUUUCAAAGACUUUUUGAGAGUGCUUAGACCUGCAUAUCAGCCUCCCUGCCGCAAGACAGUGUCAGGGACCAUUCUAAAUUCAUUAUAUGAUGAAAUAAAUGAAGACGAUCAAAACUCAAUAGGUAAAUUCUCUGUUAUGAUGAUCGAUGGGUGGAAAAAUUCAGCAAAUAACACAAAACAAGUGGUAACAAUUUUGAAGUCAACAAGAAGCGAUAAGUGUAUUUUUCUGGAAGCAUAUGAUGUAACAACAACACCAGAGACGGGAGAAAAGCUAAGUGAAUUGUGUAAUCUAUCUGUUGAACUAGCGAAGACAAAGUUUAAGACUGAAAUUUAUGCUGUCGUUAGCGAUAAUGCAGCAAACAUGUUGAAAAUGGGAAAAUUGACGAGUGAUUUAAUGCAUACUACUUGCAAUAGUCACACAGGAAAUCUUCUUGCCAAAGACUUAAUUUCCAAAGAAUUAUGUUCCAAAGUAAUCACUAUCUUAAAAGAAUUUAAACAUCCUAAUCUCGAAAAGGAGCUGCAAAGUCAGGGAGGAUCAAAGAUAAAAUUAGCUGUCGAUACUCGGUGGUGUACCUAUAGAGACUCAUUUUCUUGCUUGAUCAAAAAUUUAAAAUUUAUGAAAAAACUUGCGGCAGAAGAAACUAUAAAACUUAAACAAGAAAUAAUUCAGUUACUAUUUGACGAUGAGUUCAUCGAUGAAGUUAAAACAACAAUUGAAGUAUCUAACCCGGUUUGCAAAUUAAUUAAUGAGUGUCAGUCUAGCAGCUGCACUAUUGCCGAUGCUUGUGAGAAAUGGACUCAUUUACAACUGCCUGCGGAGUUUGAAGAUGUUUUGAAAAGAAGAAGAGACAUGGCGCUAAAUAUUUACUCUUUAACAUCAAAUUUUCUUCAUCCUCUUUAUAGAGGAAGGUCUUUGAAUCAAACCCAGGUUGAUAUGGUCCAUGACUAUUUGGUAGCUACUUUAAGUGCAGAAGGUUUAAUGAGUUUUCACCAAUUUUGUUCUUCGGAAGAUAUUUUUGAAACCUUAGAACGUAAAAACAUUUGUUGCCCAAAAGUUUUUUGGGGAUUGGCCGAGAGAAAGCACCCAGAGUUGGCUAGUGUAGCUUUAAAACUUAUCAAUAUACCAGCCAGCUCAGCUUCCUUGGAGCGUGUGUUUAGUAAUUGGGCAUUUAUUCACAAUGAUUUGAGAAAUCGUUUGGAUGCUGAUCAUUCGAGAAAAAUAAUGCAUUGUUAUUACUCCCUGAAGAUGCGGGAAAGUAACGAAGUCAGUUAAAAAAGAAACAUUGGUUGUGUUUUUUUCCUC
RNA transcript from Tribolium castaneum (red flour beetle), 2118 nucleotides. RefSeq lists it as hypothetical. The record is from RefSeq and is a predicted model, not a curated record. Lineage: Eukaryota; Metazoa; Arthropoda; Insecta; Coleoptera; Tenebrionidae. The transcript has 2 exons.